AAAAAUGUCUGUAGCUGCAGGGGUUGCAGCCCUGAACUUUUCUUACCCGGUGGGCAGACUUAAGCGUGGAUCAGCGGAUGCCAACACCCUUAACCGGGCUCCAGUUUCAAAGGGGGCCUUGAGUCCCCCAGACACUUCUCCCCCUUUCUUUCUCCUUCGAGCCCCGAGCCCCGGUGGCAGCGGGAGAGGACGGUAGAGGCCUGUCGUUACCAGCACUUGAGUGCACCUCCUGGAUGGAGGCAGGUCCUUUGAUUUCAAUGCCGCGGACACACAGACCAGGGGCCUGAUGAAGGGACAGAAUCCUCACGAGCACGGGGAUCCUUCCUGGAGCAUUUGUAGAUGAACCGGGCACUGCGCUUCUCCCCACCCCUGCCUGGGAUCCUUGCCUUCAGCGACUGGAUGGAUUCCAGUUUUAGUCUUGCCUUUCUCAGUUAUAGAGAGAACAACUGUAUAAAGUGUGUAAUCGGCUUCUGGCACGGGAGACACCCUGGAGAAUCUCAAGAUGUCAAAUAAAUGGAAGGAACCCGGAGGCAGUAUUGCUGUAACCUGCUCUGUGGUCUUCAGGGAGGAGGGGGCCCUGGCUGGAAGGGAGGGGCUCGGAGACCAGCCGCAUUUGGCAUAUGAUGUGAAGGCAUCUAAAGGAGAAAAAACCUACUGCACGGAUCUGCACGAGGGGGAUGGAGAAGUUGCAGCCUGAAUUUGGAAACCGUCUGGAUAAUUCCACCAAAGCAGCAGUAAGGCAGCAAAAACCUAGGAAGACCUGCCAGGGAGACCCAGACCUCUGUGGGUUUGCACGGUUCCUUAGGGCAGACUUCAACCCUGCUGAGAUGGGUGCAUCGGGCUGGUCUUCCGGUAAGGAUAGAGAGGAGCCCUAGGGGGCCUAUCCUCAGCAGUUAGAGCAUUGCUCUGUAUGAAGGAUCUCCUGAGAGACUGCACACAGAAUAAUAAAGGUAAAGUGGAGGGACUAUCCCAGGAGACCAACAUGGCAGGGUCAAGAAGCUGCUGAUUAUGCAAGAGUCAGCUGAGAUGACAGCAGCGUGCAAAUAGUUUUAUGAAUUGAAAUAUUCCUUCCAACUCUAAUUAAGCAGCGGCAACAGUCCUGAAUGUUUAAUCACUUGCUUAACUGUUGAAUGUACUUCCAACCCAGGCAAUAGCAGCCAGUCUAUUUCUUAUUCUGACAGCACGUCACAACCAGAAUCCAAGCUUGGUUGGAAAUGCAUUAUUUAAAUGAAAAUAAAUUGACUAUUGAUACAAUUCAGUUGGGCUUGAGAAGAUUGUAUCUCACAGACACAAAUAUCGACUGUUCUUCUUUUGUCAUUGAUCAUUGUGGCAAAAAAUAGAUAAUCAUUGCUGAUUAAAUGCCAGGGUUGCCUAAUGAAUCUUUUUCUGUAGAACUUUCCGGGAGAUAUCUUGAGAGAAUGUGUAUUCAGAGGCCUCCAAUCCAUACCCUGCCAAGUGGGAAGACUUCACCACCAUCGCGAGAGUGUCAGAAGAUAGUCCUGGUUUUUUAUAUUCAAUGACCCGCCAAAGCUCCCUCUGGCAAGUCAAGACUUCUAAUUCCAUGUGUUGGAGAAGACAACUGAGCAAGCAUUGGACAGCUUGCCGUAUUAACUUGAACAACCCGUUCACAAUUGUCCCUGAAGUUUAUAAUAUUGAUCUUGGAAAUCUUGUUGGCUCUCUAGAGAAAAGAAUAAUACAUUUAAAUAGACUUUUAACCACUUAAGUGGCCAAGGAAAAUAAAAACAGUAAAAUAAAUAAAUAAAUAAAGGAAAGAAAGAAAAAAAAAAAGAAAAAGAAAGCCUACCUUGCAUAGCCUUGAAAUUGGAGACUGAAGACCACGGCAAGACACAAACAGCAACUGCUUUUCCUUGUCAGGAGCGUGCACGGGGCUGAGAGGCCCACUCGCAGUGUCCAUUUCCAACCAACGAGCGCCGUGUUGCAAGGCCUGAGAAAGACGCGCCGGCAGCCCCCCUGCGGCCCCGAGUGCCUCAGUCUCAGGGCUGUUCUUACAGCCGUGGCCUUGAGCGUGAGUGGACGGGACUUCUCAAGGCCGCAGCUGUCGGAGCCGGCGUGCCCCCAGACAGCCCGGGAGCAGACCGGCUCGCCUUCCUCAUUCUCUCUCCA
This is a long non-coding RNA of Mustela erminea (ermine), 2124 nucleotides long. RefSeq lists it as uncharacterized. Lineage: Eukaryota; Metazoa; Chordata; Mammalia; Carnivora; Mustelidae. The transcript has 3 exons. The record is from RefSeq and is a predicted model, not a curated record.